This 504-nucleotide ribosomal RNA is filed under the name uncultured bacterium. RNAcentral describes it as "bacterial SSU rRNA". It matches the Rfam family "Bacterial small subunit ribosomal RNA", at positions 8 to 507 of the family's 1533-position model. The record is from RNAcentral.
AGAGUUUGAUCAUGGCUCAGAUUGAACGCUGGCGGCAUGCUUUACACAUGCAAGUCGAACGGCAGCGCGGGGCAACCCUGGCGGCGAGUGGCGAACGGGUGAGUAAUGCAUCGGAACGUAUCCUGUAAUGGGGGAUAACGUAGCGAAAGUUACGCUAAUACCGCAUACGCUCGAGAGAGGAAAGUGGGGGAUCGCAAGACCUCACGUUAUAGGAGCGGCCGAUGUCCGAUUAGCUAGUUGGUGGGGUAAAGGCCUACCAAGGCGACGAUCGGUAGCUGGUCUGAGAGGAUGAUCAGCCACACUGGGACUGAGACACGGCCCAGACUCCUACGGGAGGCAGCAGUGGGGAAUUUUGGACAAUGGGCGAAAGCCUGAUCCAGCCAUGCCGCGUGCGGGAAGAAGGCCUUCGGGUUGUAAACCGCUUUAGUCCGGGAAAAAGGGGUGCGAGGAUAAUACCCUCGUGCUUUGAUGGUACUGGAAGAAUAAGCACCGGCUAACUACGUG